CCGGUUAACGUCGGUAUAUUGAAGUCAAUUAGUAAACCGACGUUAAACUUUCAAUUAGAGAAGUAUUUUGCAUGACUUAAGAAACCGACUUAAUCAUUUGCGUCACUUAUUAAUACUUCGAUUUUUUUUCAUUUAUCUAGAAACUAAUUGUUUCCAACAGCAAAACUUUUCGAUCGCUUAUGAUCUCUUCCAUUUACGAGCUUCUCUAUCUAAGCUUAUCGUCGUUGUGGUGGAGUUCUGAUUCUUUGAUUUCAAUAUCCAUUUGGAUUCAAGCUCAGAGGCGGAGAAGCAGAUCCAAAAUCGAUGAUCUCUGUAACCAGAUCGAGACGAAACAAGAGCAUCGAAGCUCGUCAAAACCACCAAAUCAGUGAUAUGUUUUGUUUGCUCAUUAAGAAAAGCAACAACACAUUUUACACUUCACAGAGGUAGAUGAAUUGGCAGUACUUGGGACAAACUACAAUAGAUCCAUUGUCAGAGAUGGAGACUCUUUCCAUCAACGCACCAACUCCGGAUUCUACUUUGCCCUCCGGAGUAAAGUAAGUUUCUUCUCCUAUCUCCCCUGCAAUUUUAUUGCCUAGGAUUCAAGAAAGAAUGAAACCAACGCAUACAUGAUGAUGAGCUGAGGGAUCUUCUAGCUAAGAAGGCUGCAAUACAUGAUGAUGAGCUGAAGGAUCUUCUGGCUAAGAAGUUAUUCAUCGAUUCAGUGGCUUUUCUUCGGCGGAUCUGGGUUGGCGAUUUCUUCGAGCAUCGGUGUGUCUCCGGUGGGUUGGUUGCCUCUGGUGAGGAGUGGGUGGGAGCUUCGCUUUGGUUGAUUUUCCUGGGGUCAUCUUCCGGUGGGUCUCUCGCUGGUACUGCAGAUCUACUCCUCUCAAACGGUGUCUUGCGCCUUGCUUGUCGGAUUCGGUUUCGCGUGACAGGUUUGUUGGGUUUUAGCUAUGAUUGCAGGUCUUGGAGUUGCUUUUGCAAAGCGUGAGUGAGCAAGUCUUCAUCUCCGGCAGCGGAGGAGUGGUUUUUUCCCCUAUCUGAUGCAUUCGUGUCUCUGUUCGGGUGGUGCGAGGAGAUCUGAAGUUUGACCACACGUUGUUAAGGACGCCAGUCAGUGGGCAUACUUUUUUUCAAAAUGCAAAUGUAUAUAUUAAUAUCAGAUUUAAAAUGAAAA
Arabidopsis lyrata subsp. lyrata is the source of this 1159-nucleotide long non-coding RNA. RefSeq lists it as uncharacterized. Lineage: Eukaryota; Viridiplantae; Streptophyta; Magnoliopsida; Brassicales; Brassicaceae. The transcript has 4 exons. The record is from RefSeq and is a predicted model, not a curated record.